AGUGAACGCUGGCGGUAGGCCUAACACAUGCAAGUCGAACGGCAGCACAGUAAGAUCUUGCUCUUACGGGUGGCGAGUGGCGGACGGGUGAGGAAUACAUCGGAAUCUACUUUUUCGUGGGGGAUAACGUAGGGAAACUUACGCCAAUAUCGCAUACGACCUACGGGUGAAAGCAGUGGAACUUCGCACCUUGCGCGGUUGAAUGAGCCGAUGUCGGAUUAGCUAGUUGGCGGGGUAAAGGCCCACCAAGGCGACGAUCGGUAGCUGGUCUGAGAGGCUGAUCAGCCACCCUGGAACGUAGACACGCUCCAGACUCCUACGGGAGGCAGCAGUGGGGAAUAUUGGACAAUGGGCGCAAGCCUGAUCCAGCCAUACCGAGUGGGUGAAGAAGGCCUUCGGGUCGUAAAGCCCGUUUGUUGGGAAAGAAAAGCAGCAGGUUAAUACCCAGCUGUAGUGACGGUACCCAAAGAAUAAGCACCGGCUAACUUCGUG
RNAcentral lists this ribosomal RNA (492 nucleotides) under uncultured bacterium. RNAcentral describes it as "partial 16S ribosomal RNA". It matches the Rfam family "Bacterial small subunit ribosomal RNA", at positions 29 to 507 of the family's 1533-position model. The record is from RNAcentral.